GUGGGGAAUAUUCCGCAAUGGACGAAAGUCUGACGGAGCAACGCCGCGUGAGUGAUGAAGGUUUUCGGACUGUAAAGCUCUGUUGUUUAGGACGAAAGUGCCUGUUGCAAAUAGUUACAGGUAUUGACGGUACUGAACGAGGAAGCCACGGCUAACUACGUGCCAGCAGCCGCGGUAAUACGUAGGUGGCAAGCGUUGUCCGGAAUUAUUGGGCGUAAAGAGCAUGUAGGCGGGAAUCUAAGUCUGUUGUGAAAAUGCGGGGCUCAACCCCGUAUUGCGAUGGAAACUGGGUGUCUUGAGUGCAGGAGAGGAAAGGGGAAUUCCCAGUGUAGCGGUGAAAUGCGUAGAUAUUGGGAGGAACACCAGUGGCGAAGGCGCCUUUCUGGACUGUGUCUGACGCUGAGAUGCGAAAGCCAGGGUAGCGAACGGGAUUAGAAACCCGUGUAGUCC
Molecule: ribosomal RNA, 450 nt
Filed under: uncultured bacterium
Lineage: Bacteria
Description: partial 16S ribosomal RNA
Rfam family: Bacterial small subunit ribosomal RNA
Source: RNAcentral